GAUGAACGCUGGCGGCGUGCCUAAUACAUGCAAGUCGAGCGAACAGACGAGGAGCUUGCUCCUCUGACGUCAGCGGCGGACGGGUGAGUAACACGUGGAUAACCUACCUAUAAGACUGGGAUAACUUCGGGAAACCGGAGCUAAUACCGGAUAAUAUAUUGAACCGCAUGGUUCAAUAGUGAAAGACGGUUUUGCUGUCACUUAUAGAUGGAUCCGCGCCGCAUUAGCUAGUUGGUAAGGUAACGGCUUACCAAGGCAACGAUGCGUAGCCGACCUGAGAGGGUGAUCGGCCACACUGGAACUGAGACACGGUCCAGACUCCUACGGGAGGCAGCAGUAGGGAAUCUUCCGCAAUGGGCGAAAGCUUGACGGAGCAACGCCGCGUGAGUGAUGAAGGUCUUCGGAUCGUAAAACUCUGUUAUUAGGGAAGAACAAAUGUGUAAGUAACUAUGCACGCCUUGACGGUACCUAAUCAGAAAGCCACGGCUAACUACGUG
RNAcentral lists this ribosomal RNA (497 nucleotides) under uncultured bacterium. RNAcentral's name for it is "partial 16S ribosomal RNA". It matches the Rfam family "Bacterial small subunit ribosomal RNA", at positions 28 to 507 of the family's 1533-position model. The record is from RNAcentral.